GACGAACGCUGGCGGCGUGCUUAACACAUGCAAGUCGAACGGAAAGGCCCUGCUUUUGUGGGGUGCUCGAGUGGCGAACGGGUGAGUAACACGUGAGUAACCUGCCCUUGACUUUGGGAUAACUUCAGGAAACUGGGGGUAAUACCGGAUAGGAGCUCCUGCUGCAUGGUGGGGGUUGGAAAGUUUCGGCGGUUGGGGAUGGACUCGCGGCUUAUCAGCUUGUUGGUGGGGUAGUGGCUUACCAAGGCUUUGACGGGUAGCCGGCCUGAGAGGGUGACCGGCCACAUUGGGACUGAGAUACGGCCCAGACUCCUACGGGAGGCAGCAGUAGGGAAUAUUGCACAAUGGGCGGAAGCCUGAUGCAGCAACGCCGCGUGCGGGAUGACGGCCUUCGGGUUGUAAACCGCUUUCGCCUGUGACGAAGCGUGAGUGACGGUAAUGGGUAAAGAAGCACCGGCUAACUACGUG
This 468-nucleotide ribosomal RNA is filed under the name uncultured bacterium. RNAcentral's name for it is "partial 16S ribosomal RNA". It matches the Rfam family "Bacterial small subunit ribosomal RNA", at positions 28 to 507 of the family's 1533-position model. The record is from RNAcentral.